UUGAGCUGUACGAGAUGAAAGUCUCAUAUACAGUUCUCGGUGGAUGGAUCACACCUAUCUCAAUAAAAUAUAUGAUUGGUUUGAAGUAGGGGUGUUCAAAACCGGAUAUCCAAAAAUUUGGAUAUCCGAAUUUCGGAUAUCCGAAAUUUUCGGAUACUAGAUUUCACUAUCCGAAUCCGU
Molecule: non-coding RNA, 180 nt
Filed under: Helianthus annuus (common sunflower)
Lineage: Eukaryota; Viridiplantae; Streptophyta; Magnoliopsida; Asterales; Asteraceae
Source: RNAcentral